AUUCAAUCAAUUUCCAUAACAGAAAAAGAUUUGCUUCCUGUUUUAUAAUCUAUCUUUCUGAUGAAAAAGCUUGCGUGGGCCAAUUUCAAGUCUCCCUUUUCCAGGGCAGGCGGAUCACGAGAUGAAUGUGCUCAAGGCUUAAGCAACAAGUUAAACGUGAAUGAAGAGUACAAGAAAGCUUUCAGGACAGAGUCUUACGUAGAAAUGUGGAGCAAAAUUCAGGGCCAACUGAGAAGAAAAUCCGUUGAUGGAAUUGAUAGACUCUCCUCCUCUUCAUCUCUUCCUUUCUCUGUCCAUCUCUCUGAUCAUCUCUUUGAACCAGAGAAGCAACAAACCUUAACGGAAAUGGUACAAAGCAUGAAGUUCCACCGCCUUCUGAUAGAAUAUUUUGAAGCCAGCUUGGAAGCAUGUAAUCUUUGUGAUUCGCUGCUCCGAAGCAUCCAUCAAACGCGUGCUAAUUAUCGCAGAAUUGAAAGGGUAAUCAAGUUAAGUAAAAGGGUGCACAAUUCUGCAGAUUACACAGAAAAAAUUUCUGGGGGUAUAUUUGGAGAGCUUGCUGCAUAUGCAUUGCUCAGAAAUCCUUUAUCAUUUGUUAGCCCACUACAAUUCCGCGAUGUUCAUGAUAACAACCUGGUAUUGCUCCACAGGUUGACUUCAGAUCUGAGAAAGAUUAGAAGGAAAGCAAAGUUUAAUAGAAUUUGCAAGAAGAUUGGGGGAUAUUGCCUAGUGAUUUCACAUACUGCACUUUUAAUUGCAUUGCUAGUAAUUGCACUUCAUGGUAUAGUUGUUAUUGUAGCGGCACCAGCACUUGUGGGUUGCUCAAAGUGUUUGUUCAGAAAGAAAAUCAAGUUACUUCAUGGAGUGUUCAAGACAAGUUCGCUUGAAAAACUCUGUGCACAGCUUGAUGUUGCAGCCAAAGGAACCUACAUAUUGAUCAAUGAUUUUGAUACCGUAAGUAGGUUAGUUAGGAGUUUAUGUGACGAGCUAGAACACAAGAAAGCUCUUGCUGAUAUGUGUGCUAGGAGUAAAAAUACUGAGCUGUUGAAAGAAGUUGUGAAAGAGUUUUACAUGCAUGAUUCUUACUAUCAGGAGCAGCUGGAUGAGCUUGAAGAACAUAUUUACCUCUGUUUUCAUACCAUAAACAGAUCCAGAAGGCUUGUUAUACAAGAGAUAAUGGUUGCACAACAAUAAUGCUGUUGAUAAUCAUAUAUCUUUUCUUUCAGAAAAAAACAAAUUCUUGGGAAGAUUAGACAAUAAUGGGCGUGGUAACCUUCCAGGCAGGGAAAGCUUUGCCUUGGUGGGCGGCUUAGCGCUUAGCCUGAGUGGGUUCUUACAGAAACCAACAUUGCAUUUGUACAUAAAAUAUCAGCCCUGG
Molecule: unclassified non-coding RNA, 1375 nt
Filed under: Hevea brasiliensis (rubber tree)
Lineage: Eukaryota; Viridiplantae; Streptophyta; Magnoliopsida; Malpighiales; Euphorbiaceae
Source: RNAcentral